AAGUCGUAACAAGGUAACCGUAGGUGAACCUGCGGUUGGAUCAUUAAUAAAUUUAUCUUGAUGGCCAUCGGCUUUACCGCCUUUGGCUAAUCAUUUACCCAACUUUUGUGCACCAUAUUUUUGUAUUUUUGGGUAAGGUGAUUAAGCAAACUAUUCUUUUCCUUGGAGAAGAAAAAGGCCUUGCCCAAGUUUUUUAUUAAGCCCUUGUAGAAAAACUUGUCUUUAACCUAUUUUUUUAUUAUUAAAGAAAAAACAACUUUUGACAACGGAUCUCUAGGCUCUC
RNAcentral lists this unclassified non-coding RNA (283 nucleotides) under fungal sp. Its description in RNAcentral is "partial internal transcribed spacer region". The stretch from base 1 to 46 matches the Rfam family "Eukaryotic small subunit ribosomal RNA", at positions 1786 to 1831 of the family's 1831-position model. RNAcentral also lists the same sequence under 1 other name. Lineage: Eukaryota; Fungi. The record is from RNAcentral.